AACUGAUAAAUCUUAGUAGGGACAAAGCUCUUCUAGCUGCAGAUAAGGCUAGACAAAGGCUUAUGAUACAAAAGCCAGCAGUGGAGAUUGAUGCAUUGAAGCCACUACCACUAGAAACAAAACAUGGCCCAUUAAUGAACCCUGAAAGAAAUAUGGCCAAUUCAGGAACAGCUGCAACACCUCUAGUUUCUAAAGGCAGAAUUCCAGGUUCACCAGGAAGACUUACAAGCCCGAGGCGUCGAUUUUCAGGCUCUCCAACUAUGUUUUCUGCUAUGCCAUCACCGUCA
RNAcentral lists this long non-coding RNA (287 nucleotides) under Gossypium raimondii (Peruvian cotton). Its description in RNAcentral is "long non-coding RNA (GRAI_LNC006563)". Lineage: Eukaryota; Viridiplantae; Streptophyta; Magnoliopsida; Malvales; Malvaceae. The record is from RNAcentral.